Molecule: non-coding RNA, 85 nt
Organism: Acanthosepion pharaonis
Lineage: Eukaryota; Metazoa; Mollusca; Cephalopoda; Sepiida; Sepiidae
Source: the annotation of a GenBank genome assembly
UCCUGUCCGAUCACCGAAGUUAAGUAACGUCGGUCUUGUUCAGUGCCUAGAUGGGUGACCGCUUGGGAAUACCAAGUACUGCAAG